This 540-nucleotide ribosomal RNA is filed under the name uncultured Gammaproteobacteria bacterium. RNAcentral's name for it is "bacterial SSU rRNA". It matches the Rfam family "Bacterial small subunit ribosomal RNA", at positions 912 to 1457 of the family's 1533-position model. The record is from RNAcentral. Lineage: Bacteria; Pseudomonadati; Pseudomonadota; Gammaproteobacteria.
GACGGGGACCCGCACAAGCGAUGGAUGAUGUGGAUUAAUUCGAUGCAACGCGAAGAACUUUACCUGGUCUUGACAUGUCAGGAAUCCUGCAGAGAUGCGGGAGUGCCUUCGGGAACCUGAACACAGAUGCUGCAUGGCUGUCGUCAGCUCGCGUCGUGAGAUGUUGGGUUAAGUCCCGCUACGAGCGCAACCCUUGUCACUAGUUGGUACGAAAGGGCACUCUAGUGAGACUGCCGGUGACAAACCGGAGGAAGUUGGGGAUGACGUCAAGUCCUCAUGGCCCUUAUGACCAGGGCCUCACACGUCAUACAAUGGUCGGUACAGAGGGUAGCCAACCCGCGAGGGGGAGCCUAUCCCAGAAAGCUCGAUCGUAGUCCGGAUUGCAGUCUGCAACUCGACUGCAAGAAGUCGGAAUCGGUAGUAAUCGCAGGUCAGCAUACUGCGGUGAAUACGUUCCCGGGUCUUGUACACACCGCCCGUCACACCAUGGGAGUGGGUUGCUCCAGAAGUAGUUAGCCUAACCGCAAGGAGGGCGAUUAC